GGCGGCGUGCCUAACACAUGCAAGUCGAACGGGACUAUCAAGUGAUGUUUCGGACUGAACUUUUAGUUAGUGGCGGACGGGUGAGUAACGCGUGGACAACCUGCCUCUCACUGGGGGGAUAGCAGCUGGAAACGGCUGGUAAUACCGCAUGCGUUCAAUGUGCCGCAUGACACAUUGAAGAAAGAUUUAUCGGUGAGAGAUGGGUCCGCGUCUGAUUAGCCAGUUGGCGGGGUAACGGCCCACCAAAGCGACGAUCAGUAGCCGGCCUGAGAGGGCGGACGGCCACAUUGGGACUGAGACACGGCCCAGACUCCUACGGGAGGCAGCAGUGGGGGAUAUUGCACAAUGGGCGCAAGCCUGAUGCAGCGACGCCCGCGUGAGUGAAGAAGUAUUUCGGUAUGUAAAGCUCUAUCAGCAGGGAAGGAAGGCCCGCAAGGGAGAUGACGGUACCUGACUAAGAAGCCCCGGCUAACUACGUGCCAGCCGCAGC
RNAcentral lists this ribosomal RNA (490 nucleotides) under uncultured bacterium. RNAcentral describes it as "bacterial SSU rRNA". It matches the Rfam family "Bacterial small subunit ribosomal RNA", at positions 38 to 518 of the family's 1533-position model. The record is from RNAcentral.